GGGUGCUCUCUGUGUUAGGGAGGUUCUGUAUUAGGGUGCUCUCUGUAUUAGGGAGGUUCUGUAUUAGGGAGGGUGCUCUCUGUAUUAGGGUGCUCUCUGUGUUAGGGUGCUCUCUGUAUUAGGGAGGUUCUGUAUUAGGGAGGUUCUGUGUUAGGGUGCUCUCUGUAUUAGGGAGGGUGCUUUCUGUAUUAUAGUGCUCUCUGUAUUAGGAAGGUUCUGUAUUAUGGUGCUCUCUCUAUUAGGGUGCUCUCUGUAUUAGGGAGGGUGCUCUCUGUAUUAUAGUGCUCUCUGUAUUAGGGAGGUUCUGUAUUAGGGUGCUCUCUGUAUUAGGGAGGUUCUGUAUUAGGGUGCUCUAUGUAUGAGGGUGCUCUCUGUAUUAGGGAGGUUCUGUAUUAGGGUGCUCUCUGUAUUAGGGAGGUUCUGUAUUAGGGUGCUCUCUGUAUUAGGGAGGUUUUUUAUUAGGGUGCUCUCUGUAUUAGGGAGGUUCUGUAUUAGGGAGGGUGCUCUCUGUGUUAGGGUGCUCUCUGUAUUAGGGAGGUUCUGUAUUAGGGUGCUCUCUGUAUUAGGGAGGUUCAAUAUUAGGGAGGGUGCUCUCUGUAUUAGGGUGCUCUCUGUGUUAGGGUGCUCUCUGUAUUAGGGAGGUUCUGUAUUAGGGAGGUUCUGUGUUAGGGUGCUCUCUGUAUUAGGGAGGGUGCUUUCUGUAUUAUAGUGCUCUCUGUAUUAGGGAGGUUCUGUAUUAUGGUGCUCUCUCUAUUAGGGUGCUCUCUGUAUUAGGGAGGGUGCUCUCUGUAUUAUAGUGCUCUCUGUAUUAGG
Pelobates cultripes (western spadefoot toad) is the source of this 813-nucleotide non-coding RNA. Lineage: Eukaryota; Metazoa; Chordata; Amphibia; Anura; Pelobatidae. The record is from the annotation of a GenBank genome assembly.